RNAcentral lists this ribosomal RNA (253 nucleotides) under uncultured bacterium. RNAcentral's name for it is "partial 16S ribosomal RNA". It matches the Rfam family "Bacterial small subunit ribosomal RNA", at positions 524 to 776 of the family's 1533-position model. The record is from RNAcentral.
UACGAAGGGGGCUAGCGUUGCUCGGAAUCACUGGGCGUAAAGCGCACGUAGGCGGAUCUUUAAGUCAGGGGUGAAAUCCUGGAGCUCAACUCCAGAACUGCCUUUGAUACUGGGAAGCUUGAGUCCGGGAGAGGUGAGUGGAACUGCGAGUGUAGAGGUGAAAUUCGUAGAUAUUCGCAAGAACACCAGUGGCGAAGGCGGCUCACUGGCCCGGUACUGACGCUGAGGUGCGAAAGCGUGGGGAGCAAACAGG